Molecule: long non-coding RNA, 1781 nt
Filed under: Paramuricea clavata
Lineage: Eukaryota; Metazoa; Cnidaria; Anthozoa; Malacalcyonacea; Plexauridae
Source: RNAcentral
CAGAUGCCUCGCGAUCAGGGAAUAAACGAGCGUUUAGAGCAUACUAUUACCGAAUUGCAAAAGGUAAGGAUAAUAUUACUUAAAUUCUGGGUUGACUAACGUUAGCCUGGAAGCUGCAUGUACAUGAUCAGCCUCGUCAUUGUAUGAAGGAGCUGACUUAGCCAUUCGUAAUUUUUGAGAACCACGAAUUUUUAAAUACAGCCCGCAAUAAAGAGGAGUGGAUGUCAUUUCAAGUUAUCAGUAUGUUAAAGCGCUAGAAGAAGACGAACAGUCGACAAUAAUAAUUCGAAUUUUAUGAAUCCUUAAUUCGAGCUUCCGAAUAUGAACGUUGGCUGUUUUGAAAUGUCAACUUAUGUUGGGAAUUAAAAAAAAAAGGAAAGACCCAGUUAUAAGGUGCACUUAAUUUCGAUCCACUUUUAUAACUGAAAUAAUUUGAAUCCAGCGCAAUGACCACAGGUAUUUGUGGUAUUCAUUACCAUCAUGUGCCAGGUAAAGCGAUAUAUGAUUCGGUAAUUUUCCUAAUAAAUCGUUAAAUAACAUAAUAGUAAUUUACCCGAAAAUUAUAGAACGGUAAGAACAGGAUAAUUUGCUAACCUGUAAACAAAUUGUGCGAGUUUUUUUAUUGCGUUUUUAAUCCUGCAAAGACUAUAAAAAGCGAACAACUUGCCGUUUUCUCGUUCGCAAACGUCAGAAAUUCAGUUCGAGCCGCCAUUUUGUUUUUCUUUACUAGCAGGAUAUGAGCUAAUAUCCUGCUAGUAGAGAACCAAUCAGAUUGCAGAAAACCUCAUAUCAAGACCUUGUGCAUAUAAUCAUUUGUGUUCUUCUUUUCCAGCAAUGGCAGAUAGUAAUUAUAAUAACGGCGGCAGCAACAACGACAACAACAAAAACAACGACGACGAUGGCAAAAACGUUGGCGCCAGCAAGACAACAAGUAAGUUUUUUUCGUAUUACUUCCUGUAUAAGCUUUUGUCCUGUAUAGCUUUUAUAUACAUUGCUUGUUGUUUAUCUUUUGUUUUAUGAUUUAGAUUUAAGACUCAACAUGCCAAUUAGCGGAGGAGUUGGCGGCAGGGCAGGACUAAAGAAUUUUCUUCUUGGGGAAAAACCUGAACACAAGAUAUUUUAGUAAUAUGUAAUGUAUAUAAAAACAUAUUAGACAGGGGAAUUUCCAAAACCAUUUGAAAAACUCGUGAUUCCGUUUUAUUAUUGAAUAUCUAGCAACGGUGCGGAGCGUCGUUCCGGUCGUAAGCUCGGGUACUAAUUCCGCCCUCCUAUUUACACCAGGGAAAACGAAAGCAUUUGCCAAGUCUAAAGAUCAUUAAUGAUCGCGGGCGCGGGUGACCAACGGUGUAGAGUGGGUGGUCAUCCUUACGAGUCACAAAAUAUGUGGCGGAUUGGUCAUGAAUAGCGAAGACUGAUUGGUCAAAUUUAAAAUUUGUUGUUGUGUGACAAAUGACGACAGUGAAAUAACAAACAUUUCUUGCAAAUGAGCAAAUAUAUUGUAUUUUUGCAAGAUUUUGCAAAUUUCAAAACAUUUUUGAAAGCUAAAAGAAUGGAGAAAAUUUGCCGACGUUAAUGAGGGUAAGUUUGUUUUUAAUACUGAUGUAUUGUUUGCUUUAUAAUUGCCUUAAAAACUUAUACGAUCAUUGCGUAUAUAAGUGAAAAAAGACAGCGUAUAAUUUCAGUGUAAUUUUAUUAUCUGGUUUCUUGCACUUCAUUUGGUGAUAUUAAUAUUAGAAUGCUGUUGUUAGUGUUAGUAAUCCAAGUGAGUAUAUACAUUUUAA